AUUGAACGCUGGCGGCAUGCCUUACACAUGCAAGUCGAACGGCAGCACGGGGGCAACCCUGGUGGCGAGUGGCGAACGGGUGAGUAAUACAUCGGAACGUGCCCAGUCGUGGGGGAUAACGUAGCGAAAGCUACGCUAAUACCGCAUACGAUCUCUGGAUGAAAGCGGGGGACCGCAAGGCCUCGCGCGAUUGGAGCGGCCGAUGGCAGAUUAGGUAGUUGGUGGGGUAAAGGCUCACCAAGCCGACGAUCUGUAGCUGGUCUGAGAGGACGACCAGCCACACUGGGACUGAGACACGGCCCAGACUCCUACGGGAGGCAGCAGUGGGGAAUUUUGGACAAUGGGCGAAAGCCUGAUCCAGCCAUUCCGCGUGCAGGAUGAAGGCCCUCGGGUUGUAAACUGCUUUUGUACGGAACGAAACGGUCCUGGUUAAUACCUGGGGCUAAUGACGGUACCGUAAGAAUAAGCACCGGCUAACUACGUGCCAGCAGCCGCGGUAAU
This 501-nucleotide ribosomal RNA is filed under the name uncultured bacterium. RNAcentral's name for it is "bacterial SSU rRNA". It matches the Rfam family "Bacterial small subunit ribosomal RNA", at positions 29 to 524 of the family's 1533-position model. The record is from RNAcentral.